Molecule: long non-coding RNA, 689 nt
Organism: Cygnus olor (mute swan)
Lineage: Eukaryota; Metazoa; Chordata; Aves; Anseriformes; Anatidae
Exons: 2
Source: RefSeq, a predicted model, not a curated record
GGGGCCGGGUGCCCCGCUUGGGAGAACCCGUCCCGGGACGGGGCGCCGUGAGGGGCUGGUCAGAGGGCUCGGCUGGCAGAGGGGCAGGCUGUUUUGGUGCUCUCAGAUGUCUGGCUGCCGAUCCCAAGGCAUUCCCAGUUGCUCUGAAAUGUUGUUUGGAAAGCAAACAGAAAGCCUGGAGAAAGGCUGUUGCCUGACGACUUCGUGGUCAGAUCUGCCUUCUCUCCUCUAAGGAUGGGACAUGGGGAAGCCGUGGACCAGCCCCAGCCCAAACCCGCAGACAGCUGCAGUAGCACCGAGUGGUGUGCUGGGGCCAAAUUUACGGCUUAGGGCAAAACAGGACCUGACUGUGAGCGAGAGAGGCUGGACCCCGGUGAAACCCACGGUGGAAGAAGCUGCCCCGUGGCCCACCGCCCUCCCAAGUCUUCACACCGCACAGCCGUCCCUAGGCAGGGACACAGCCCGGUGCUGCAGCCACUGCUGUUCAAAGGGACGUGGCCACGGAGACAUGGCCAUGGAGCCAGAGCUACGCUGUGCCAGCCUGGCUGUGCUCCCUUUGUGCCCUUCAGGUCCCCACCUAGUGCUGCACGCCGUCCGUGACAGCUGUGAGCCACAGCUCCACGAGGCUGAGCUUUGAUCCUUGAGGGUAUUAAAAAUGUCUGUGAUAAUUCAGUAAUAAAAUCAAUUCA